This 742-nucleotide ribosomal RNA is filed under the name bacterium PPB-MBA-3. Its description in RNAcentral is "bacterial SSU rRNA". It matches the Rfam family "Bacterial small subunit ribosomal RNA", at positions 57 to 779 of the family's 1533-position model. The record is from RNAcentral.
GCAAGUCGAGCGGCAGCGACAACAUUGAACCUUCGGGGGAUUUGUUGGGCGGCGAGCGGCGGACGGGUGAGUAAUGCCUAGGAAAUUGCCCUGAUGUGGGGGAUAACCAUUGGAAACGAUGGCUAAUACCGCAUGAUGCCUACGGGCCAAAGAGGGGGACCUUCGGGCCUCUCGCGUCAGGAUAUGCCUAGGUGGGAUUAGCUAGUUGGUGAGGUAAGGGCUCACCAAGGCGACGAUCCCUAGCUGGUCUGAGAGGAUGAUCAGCCACACUGGAACUGAGACACGGUCCAGACUCCUACGGGAGGCAGCAGUGGGGAAUAUUGCACAAUGGGCGCAAGCCUGAUGCAGCCAUGCCGCGUGUAUGAAGAAGGCCUUCGGGUUGUAAAGUACUUUCAGUCGUGAGGAAGGUUCAUGCGUUAAUAGCGUAUGGAUUUGACGUUAGCGACAGAAGAAGCACCGGCUAACUCCGUGCCAGCAGCCGCGGUAAUACGGAGGGUGCGAGCGUUAAUCGGAAUUACUGGGCGUAAAGCGCAUGCAGGUGGUUAGUUAAGUCAGAUGUGAAAGCCCGGGGCUCAACCUCGGAAUUGCAUUUGAAACUGGCUGACUAGAGUACUGUAGAGGGGGGUAGAAUUUCAGGUGUAGCGGUGAAAUGCGUAGAGAUCUGAAGGAAUACGGGUGGCGAAGGCGGCCCCCUGGACAGAUACUGACACUCAGAUGCGAAAGCGUGGGGAGCAACAGGAUU